UACGGCGGGGGCUAGCGUUGUUCGGAAUUACUGGGCGGAAAGCGUACGUAGGCGGCUUUGUAAGUUAGAGGUGAAAGCCCGGGGCUCAACUCCGGAAUUGCCUUUAAGACUGCAUCGCUUGAAUCAUGGAGAGGUUAGUGGAAUUCCGAGUGUAGAGGUGAAAUUCGUAGAUAUUCGGAAGAACACCAGUGGCGAAGGCGACUCGCUGGACAAGUAUUGACGCUGAGGUGCGAAAGCGUGGGGAGCAAACAGG
Molecule: ribosomal RNA, 253 nt
Filed under: uncultured bacterium
Lineage: Bacteria
Description: partial 16S ribosomal RNA
Rfam family: Bacterial small subunit ribosomal RNA
Source: RNAcentral